RNAcentral lists this transfer RNA (74 nucleotides) under Muribaculaceae bacterium. RNAcentral describes it as "tRNA-Leu". It matches the Rfam family "tRNA". Rfam says of the family: Transfer RNA (tRNA) molecules are approximately 80 nucleotides in length. Their secondary structure includes four short double-helical elements and three loops (D, anti-codon, and T loops). The record is from RNAcentral. Lineage: Bacteria; Pseudomonadati; Bacteroidota; Bacteroidia; Bacteroidales; Muribaculaceae.
GCGAAAGUAGCUCAGCGGCCAAAGCACUCGGACAAUCCGAGAGAACGCGGGUUCGAAUCCCGCCUUUCGCCCCA